UACGUAGGGGGCAAGCGUUGUCCGGAAUCAUUGGGCGUAAAGAGCGUGUAGGCGGCUCGGUAAGUCCGCUGUGAAAGUCCAGGGCUCAACCCUGGAAUGCCGGUGGAAACUGUCGAGCUCGAGUCCGGAAGAGGCGAGUGGAAUUCCUGGUGUAGCGGUGAAAUGCGCAGAUAUCAGGAGGAACACCAAUGGCGAAAGCGGCUCUCUGGAACGGUACUGACGCUGAGACGCGAAAGCGUGGGGAGCGAACAGG
Molecule: ribosomal RNA, 253 nt
Filed under: uncultured bacterium
Lineage: Bacteria
Description: partial 16S ribosomal RNA
Rfam family: Bacterial small subunit ribosomal RNA
Source: RNAcentral